UACGGAGGGUGAAGCGUUAAUCGGAAUUACUGGGCGUAAAGCGCGCGUAGGUGGUUUGAUAAGCGAGAUGUGAAAAGCCCCCCGGGGCUUAACCUGGGGAACGGCAUUUCGAACUGUCAGGCUAGAGUAUGGUAGAGGAGUGUGGAAUUUCCUGUGUAGCGGUGAAAUGCGUAGAUAUAGGAAGGAACACCAGUGGCGAAGGCGGCACUCUGGACCAAUACUGACACUGAGGUGCGAAAGCGUGGGGAGCAAACAGGAUUAGAUACCCCUGUAGUCC
This 277-nucleotide ribosomal RNA is filed under the name uncultured bacterium. RNAcentral's name for it is "partial 16S ribosomal RNA". It matches the Rfam family "Bacterial small subunit ribosomal RNA", at positions 524 to 796 of the family's 1533-position model. The record is from RNAcentral.